GAUGAACGCUGGCGGCGUGCCUAAUACAUGCAAGUCGAGCGAACGGACGAGAAGCUUGCUUCUCUGAUGUUAGCGGCGGACGGGUGAGUAACACGUGGAUAACCUACCUAUAAGACUGGGAUAACUUCGGGAAACCGGAGCUAAUACCGGAUGAUAUUUUGAACCGCAUGGUUCAAAAGUGAAAGACGGUCUUGCUGUCACUUAUAGAUGGAUCCGCGCUGCAUUAGCUAGUUGGUAAUGUAACGGCUUACCAAGGCAACGAUGCAUAGCCGACCUGAGAGGGUGAUCGGCCACACUGGAACUGAGACACGGUCCAGACUCCUACGGGAGGCAGCAGUAGGGAAUCUUCCGCAAUGGGCGAAAGCCUGACGGAGCAACGCCGCGUGAGUGAUGAAGGUCUUCUGAUCGUAAAACUCUGUUAUUAGGGAAGAACAUAUGUGUAAGUAACUGUGCACAUCUUGACGGUACCUAAUCAGAAAGCCACGGCUAACUACGUG
This 497-nucleotide ribosomal RNA is filed under the name uncultured bacterium. RNAcentral's name for it is "partial 16S ribosomal RNA". It matches the Rfam family "Bacterial small subunit ribosomal RNA", at positions 28 to 507 of the family's 1533-position model. The record is from RNAcentral.